This 470-nucleotide long non-coding RNA is filed under the name Mytilus galloprovincialis (Mediterranean mussel). The record is from RNAcentral. Lineage: Eukaryota; Metazoa; Mollusca; Bivalvia; Mytilida; Mytilidae.
UAAUGUGGUGUUCGUCUUGGGGAAAGACUAUUUCCCUUGAAAGGACCCGACCUGGACUUUAUAUAUAUAGAAGGACUUAGGCUUAAGUACUGUAAUUACCUAUUACUCGGGCGUUGUUAACUGUUUCUUCGUGGUUAACGUCUAACCUCGUUGACCAUUAGAUUGAAGAGGGCGCUGCAGGCGUGCGCAGGCUCUGACAUCCGCUGUAUCCAACCAGAGGCCCAUUGGUGUCCAUCGUCUACUCCUGGCAGGGAGAAUGGUAUCAGUUGUCUACUCCUAAUAGGGAGAACCCGGGCUUAGGGUAAAGAUACAACACCCCCCUCCUUCCUAAAAAGGAGGAACUAUAAGUUCCGACAAAGGCCUGACAACUGAAGACGCCCCUUAUGCCUUAAAUUCAAAAUACUAAGUUAAUUUACCUAACCAACGAAUGGGUUAUUUCUAAAAUCCACCCCCCUGUUCCCUGGCUAUUG